This 225-nucleotide ribosomal RNA is filed under the name Triticum aestivum (bread wheat). Its description in RNAcentral is "partial small subunit ribosomal RNA". Lineage: Eukaryota; Viridiplantae; Streptophyta; Magnoliopsida; Poales; Poaceae. The record is from RNAcentral.
AUGGCGCAUUUCUGGUUGGGAGACGAGGACAACCAAAGGAUGAUGCACUGGAUGGCUUGGUGGAAAAUGUGUGUAUCCAAGAACCAAGGAGGAAUGGGCUUUCAGGAUAUCCAUUGUUUCAAUUUGGCUAUGCUUGCUAAACAGGCUUGGCGUCUUAUCGAGAAUUCGGAUUCUCUAUGUGCUACCAUUUUGAGAGUCAAAUACUAUCCCAAUGGUGAUUAUUGA